RNAcentral lists this ribosomal RNA (28 nucleotides) under Cladocopium sp. clade C. RNAcentral describes it as "partial 18S ribosomal RNA". Lineage: Eukaryota; Dinophyceae; Suessiales; Symbiodiniaceae. The record is from RNAcentral.
GGUGAACCUGCGGAAGGGUCAUUCGCAC